RNAcentral lists this unclassified non-coding RNA (391 nucleotides) under soil metagenome. Its description in RNAcentral is "partial contains 5.8S ribosomal RNA, internal transcribed spacer 2, and large subunit ribosomal RNA". The stretch from base 1 to 122 matches the Rfam family "5.8S ribosomal RNA", at positions 35 to 154 of the family's 154-position model. The record is from RNAcentral.
GAUGAAGAACGCAGCGAAAUGCGAUACUUGGUGUGAAUUGCAGAAUCCCGUGAACCAUCGAGUCUUUGAACGCAAGUUGCGCCCGAAGCCAUUAGGCCGAGGGCACGCCUGCCUGGGCGUCACACGUCGUUGCCCCCCCAUCUACUCCUUCGGGAUUGCGGGGGGCGGAUGAUGGCCUCCCGUGCGCCUUGCCGCGCGGUUGGCAUAAAUGCCAAGUCCUCGGCGACGCACGCCACGACAAUCGGUGGUUGCGAAACCUCGGUUGCCCGUCGUGUGCGGUCGUCGCGCAUCGAGGGCUCGAAAAAAUUGCCGGGUUCCGGCUCGGCUUUCAACGCGACCCCAGGUCAGGCGGGGUUACCCGCUGAAUUUAAGCAUAUCAAUAAGCGGAGGA